UUCAGUGUUGACGAAAUAGAAAAAAUAAAAACAAGAGAGAGCGUUCUCUCUGAUGGUGUUGAUUGACUCUCCCGCAUUAGUGUCUCUCUCUCUCUCGUUGAUGAUGAUUGCUGAAGGAUAAAGAAAGAGUCGGAACAGAAUUUGGGAGGAUGAUUGCUCAAACAACAACGGUGAAAAUCCUCUCCUUAGGAUCGUUGAUGAAUUAGCAGGAUAUGGCGCAAGUGAUGGAUGAUCGCAGGAGGAGGAGGAGGACGGUUGUUUCCAUGGCGUUUCUUCACCUGAUUUUAAAGAUCGGGGAGAUGGUUUGAAGAAUGAAUGACGUUUCAGACUUGGGGGAUUUUAGGAUCAGAGAUGUUUUGAAGAAGACUCGGGAUUAAACAAGUCGUCUAAGCAGCAGGUAUGAAGCUUCUUUUCACUUGGAUUUUAAGAAUUAUAUAUACGAGUGGCAUUUAGGUUGUUAUUUUCAGACAUCAAAAACGAACCAUGGUUCUUCUGAUCGGGGAGAAGAAAAAACUUGGCCGACGGGCGUGCUCACAGUGUAACAACAUGAAACUAAUUUUGUUGUGAUUGAACAUCUUUGACUCUAUACAAUACGUCUUCCUCCUUGUCCACUUCAAAUUCCCCAUCCGUAAGUCUACUCUAGAUGGAGAUAAUAAUAUAUGGUUCCCUUUCUUCCGUUGGAAAAAUGGUCUUCCUCUCUUUACUUUGUUCUGUUUCAAGUUUACUCAACCACUUUAUCGGAAGACUGUAGAAGAUUCAGACCGCUCAAGGUUUUGCUUCAGUCAUCAACACAAUCACUCAGUCACUCAGUACGUAGGAUCUCAUUCUCUUACUGUUGCAGCACCUACAUCUUCAAACAAUGGAAAAGGCUAACCAGCAUGCAUGAAACAUCUUCAAUAGAACAAUGAUUGCAUGCCUCACCUUACUGAACCGAGGAGCCCUGUUCCAAAAAAUGCGAAGAGCUCAUCUUACUACUGCAGAACUUGAGCAAGAAGAAUGCACCAAAGUUCAAAUACGAAAAGGUGAGAAGAACAUCAACAGCUGAGGAGCAUGUUUCUUUUGGACUCUGUGAAAGAGACUAUCACCUUUGCCUCUGGAAUCUUCUGGUAUUGGCUAUGGUCGUACUGCUGACAUUCCUCUUGACAGACCGGGCUCUGGUACACAGGUUUGAUUGACAAUGGAAAUUGUGAAAUUUGGAAGGCUUUUUCAUAAUAGAAUGCUUGUUAAGUAAGCCCUGUAGUGUAAAGCAUAAUUUUAGUUUUUUGAGGAAACAAGUAAAAAACAAAGAAGUUGAUUUAACAA
Capsella rubella is the source of this 1302-nucleotide long non-coding RNA. RefSeq lists it as uncharacterized. NCBI's taxonomy places the organism in Eukaryota, Viridiplantae, Streptophyta, Magnoliopsida, Brassicales, Brassicaceae. The transcript has 9 exons. The record is from RefSeq and is a predicted model, not a curated record.